RNAcentral lists this ribosomal RNA (368 nucleotides) under uncultured organism. RNAcentral describes it as "bacterial SSU rRNA". It matches the Rfam family "Bacterial small subunit ribosomal RNA", at positions 526 to 896 of the family's 1533-position model. The record is from RNAcentral.
CGUAGGGAGCAAGCGUUGUCCGGAUUCACUGGGUGUAAAGGGUGCGUAGGCGGGACAAUAAGUCAGUGGUGAAAUCUUACGGCUCAACCGUGAAACUGCCAUUGAUACUGUUGUUCUUGAGUUCGGGAGAGGUUGAUAGAAUUCCAGGUGUAGCGGUGAAAUGCGUAGAUAUCUGGAAGAAUACCAGUGGCGAAGGCGGUCAACUGGCCCGAAACUGACGCUGAGGCACGAAAGCGUGGGUAGCGAACAGGAUUAGAUACCCUGGUAGUCCACGCCCUAAACGAUGAAUGCUUGGUGUUGGCCUGCAAAGGUCAGUGCCGGAGGUAACCUGGUAAGCAUUCCACCUGGGGAGUACGCUCGCAAGGGUG